Ornithodoros turicata is the source of this 644-nucleotide long non-coding RNA. RefSeq lists it as uncharacterized. The record is from RefSeq and is a predicted model, not a curated record. Lineage: Eukaryota; Metazoa; Arthropoda; Arachnida; Ixodida; Argasidae. The transcript has 2 exons.
CACGGCCAUCAUCUCAUUGGACGAAGAAGAAGAAGUGUGCGCGCCGAACGUUUCUAAGGACUAUUCGCGCUGGGACACUGAGCAGCAGGACACUGAGUGUGAUAGAGCGUGAUGUGGGCAAGUAUUGCGCUUGUCUAAUCUACAGUUAACAAUACAAGGACACUGAACAGGACCAAAGCAGAAGCCUGUAAUAAACCACAGCUUGUGCAAGAUUGUUCGAAAGGCGCUCUGUAUUUUUCUACUGGUGCAGUCGGCAGCAUCGGUCUACUCGGCGGGGUCCCCGACAGGAUUGUUCCGGCUUUCUGCAUCGAAGACGACCCAGCGAACAACCGUGGAAGCGACAACUAUUAAACCGAGAACCCAGGUAUUGCACUGCGACGCAGACUUCGCCAGAGGCAUCGCGAUCGCAUCCAAGCGCCUCAGGCUUCAGAACAACAGGCAGGCCUUCAGCUCUACGCAGGGCAGGACGGUUCACCGACAGAAAUGUUGGAAAUAUCGGCAAAGAAAGGGGGAAAACCCCACUGGGCAGAGGGAAAGUGCCUGUACGCCGUUAUCCCUCCCCAGAACUGCACGGCUCUCUUCGUAGACUUUACUAAUGACUGAGCAUUUGAAAGCAGAACUCUUCCGAAAGAAACUAUAUUUCU